UAUGACACUUCCGUUUUUCUAGAAUUAACCCCAGAAAUGUAAUCGUUAAUGUUGGGUGAAGAUAAACUGUUUAACUUAAACGUCUUGUAUGUCGGAUAUUCGUAGGGCAAUUGGAGACAGGUUGAUUCCCUGUACUAUGGGAUCCAAUGCAAGCCAGCUAGAGAAGGAUAUCGGAGCAGAACUAUUUCCUUCAAAUGAACAUUACUUCGGUCUAGUCAAUUUUGGGAAUACAUGUUACUCAAACUCCGUCCUGCAAGCUCUCUACUUCUGCAAACCCUUCAGAGAAAAAGUGUUGGAGUAUAAAGCUAAGAACAAGAGGAACAAGGAGACCCUGCUCUCCUGUCUAGCUGACCUCUUCUACAGUAUAGUCACACAAAAGAGAAAAGUUGGAACAAUCGCGCCCAAGAAGUUUAUUGCAAGGCUAAGAAAGGAGAAGCUAGAGUUCGACAACUACAUGCAGCAGGAUGCUCACGAGUUCCUGAAUUUCCUGAUCAAUCACAUCAAUGAAAUAAUCGUGGGUGAGCAGAACCAGAACCAAGGUGGUAAACCUAAACCUGGAGAACCAGACCAGGAACCACAGAACAACCCAACCUGGAUCAAUGAUAUAUUCCAGGGUAUACUGACCAGUGAAACCCGGUGUUUAAACUGUGAAACAGUGACAUCCAAGGACGAAGACUUCUUUGAUCUUAGUAUAGACGUUGACCAGAAUACCUCUGUAACGAACUGUUUGCGUAAUUUCUCCUCGACGGAAACUCUUUGCUCAGAUAAUAAAUUCAAAUGUGAUACUUGCAGCUCAUACCAGGAGGCACAGAAGCGUAUGCGUGUGAAACGGUUACCCACAAUCCUUGCCCUUCAUCUGAAACGGUUCAAGUUCGUAGAGCAAUAUAAUCGGCAUAUAAAGGUGUCUCAUCGUGUUGUGUUCCCUCUAGAGCUUCGUCUCUUUAACACCUCAGAUGAUGCUGUCAAUCCUGAUAGACUCUACGAUCUCGUAGCAGUAGUCAUUCAUUGUGGAUCCGGUCCUAACAGGGGUCACUAUAUCUCUAUAGUGAAGAGUCAUGGAUUCUGGUUGAUAUAUGAUGAUGAUGUUGUGGAUAAAAUAGAUCCGUCUGCUAUAGAGGACUUCUACGGAUUAACAACAGAUAUCCAGAAAUCCUCUGAGACAGGAUAUAUUCUGUUCUACCAGUCCAGGGAUGCAGUCUAGAUAUAGAUAUAUAUAUAUAUUAUAUAUACAUAGAUACUCCUAGUCCUAGUUAUAUUGUUGAUAUAAACACUGGAUACCUCUAUCCUUUGUAGUGACAUUCAGGAUACAUUUGGAUAUGUUAGUUAAUAGCAGCUGUAGUUUGGGAUAUUCAGGAUACAAUUUAACAUACUAUAUUGAUAUAUUAGGUGUCUUUAAUUCAAGAUAUGCUUAAUAUCAAUAUAUAUCUUGCCAGUUGAACCAAAAUUUUCCUUUCUUCCCCAAAAAAAUAUUUUAUACCCCUGUGUUUUGGACAUACUAGACUUUAUCUAAAUAAGAUCAAGAGUCAAGACUCUUUCAUAUUUCUGAAGUUUAAAGUAAGUACGUUUGAUGAGAUGCAUUUCAAAGGGGUUUCAGUAUACAUCUAUGUUCUUAAAUUUACAAAAAAUUGUCUUUAAUAUGAUUGAUAUCUUAAAAGGGGAGAUAUUCUUUUAGUUAGUUUUGUUAUGAGUCAGGUUAGGAACUUGAAAUUGUUUAGAUUUGGUGAAGAUUUAGUUUAAAAGUCGGAUUAGGAGUUUAACGUUAUUAAAAGAUUCGAAACGUAUGCCUGCAGCCCACCUCACUGUACUUCUCCAUUAGAAAAUUUAGAAAAUGGAAAAACUAUUUCUUGUGAUUUGUUUUAACUGUGAUUUAUUGUUAUUAAAUUUGUUCUUCACACAAAUAUUCUCUUUAUUCCAACAGGAUGCUAGUUUUUUUGCCAUUCAAUUGAAUUUUUUUAGGCUGGACUAUUCCAACAAGAUAGUCUGAGCUAGGAAUUUUUAAUAAGCGCAUUAAGCUAAACCACUUAUCUACUCUCGGGCACAAUAACUAAGAGAUCAGUUAAUAUCUCUCCUAGAAGAAAAUGAGUUAAACUCAUUUCGAUUAUUUAAGAUUCACAGCUUUGGAAAUUUUUCAAGGAUUCGGAAAUAUUUUAGGAAAAUUGAUUUUUCUUUACAGACUUAUCUUUUAUAUUCCUAACAUAAAAGUUUCAGAAAAAAUAUUUUGUAUGAAAGUUGGAAGUAAAAUAUUGAUGUGUGUGAUUAAGUUAAUAUAUUUUUUUUUUAUAAAAGCAGCAAUGAUUAGUUGUGAUAUUAUAUGUACAGUGUACAGUGUACAGUGUACAGUGUACACUGUACACUGUACAUCAUAUGUAAAACUGUAAUGUUGUUUGUCAACUAUAUCUAACUCCGCCACUGAUUAUCUAGAGAGGAUAAGAAAUCCAAUUGUGUUAGUUAGAGAUCUUUCAGAGAUGUAAAUUUUCCAGAAUUCUCCACUCACAGUUUUUCAACAUUUUCCAGGUGGUCAUAAUAUUUUACUUAGGCUUGCAAGCUCAAAAACCAUUUUCAAUACUUAUCUCCCUCCCCCCCCCCAAAAAAAAUCAGUUUUAAAUGUAAAAAGUUGCAAUAAAUUAUAAACUCCGGAAAGUGAGAGAUAAAAUUA
Eurytemora carolleeae is the source of this 2656-nucleotide RNA transcript. It is a transcript of the gene named ubiquitin carboxyl-terminal hydrolase 46, with no coding region annotated. Lineage: Eukaryota; Metazoa; Arthropoda; Copepoda; Calanoida; Temoridae. The transcript is spliced from 11 exons. The record is from RefSeq and is a predicted model, not a curated record.